Daphnia carinata is the source of this 584-nucleotide long non-coding RNA. RefSeq lists it as uncharacterized. NCBI's taxonomy places the organism in Eukaryota, Metazoa, Arthropoda, Branchiopoda, Diplostraca, Daphniidae. The record is from RefSeq and is a predicted model, not a curated record. The transcript has 3 exons.
AAAUUGGAUGUAUAAAAAGGCAGCUAUUGGAGGCGAAUGGAAAAGUAACUCGUGCAAUCCCACAAAAGCAACAACCAAAACGUCUGGUGUGAGGUAAAAAAAUUGUCAACUUUUAACAAAAAUGGAUACCUAUAAAAUUAUACUGCUUCUUGGAGCAUAAAUUGGUGCAUUCUAAUUUACUCGAGAUGAAUUUUUAUACUUUCUCAAAUCUACGGUUCUCAAGGCGUCAAAUACGCUAAGGCUAUAGUGGAAAUGGAGGGGAAUGUGCAGUACUUCAGUUCCAUCUGGGGUUCGUCGGAUCCGCAAUAGCUUGUGAUCUUUGAAUUCAGUCAACUGGGCACGCAGAGUCAAAUCCGAAUUGACCAACAUCCGAUCUCUGCAUUCGCUGUAGAGUUCAUGGAACGGAAAUCCUGUGACAAACAACACAUUUUUUAAAAUUCAUACUACCAAAAGAAGUUGGAAAAUAAAACAAUACCGUGAUAAUUAGUUUCAUUAUUGUUUUCAAGUUGCCGCUGCGCAAUCAGAAUGAAAAUCGCCUUGGCGUUGAACGUCAACGACGCAAAUACAUGCACGAGGGAGGCUAA